This 403-nucleotide long non-coding RNA is filed under the name Citrus x clementina. Its description in RNAcentral is "Citrus clementina (C. clementina) long non-coding RNA (CCLE_LNC006613)". The record is from RNAcentral. Lineage: Eukaryota; Viridiplantae; Streptophyta; Magnoliopsida; Sapindales; Rutaceae.
CCUGUGAUUGUCUUGUCUUUUCAUAAAAGUUAUGUCAAUAAUGAGACAAAUGGGAGGGAAAAGGGUAAUGGUGGGAUGGGAAAAAGGAAAGAAUAGGAGAUAUCAACUAAAUGAUCCAGAUAAUUCAAUCAUUAAAUUAAUUCAAACAAAAAACCCAAAUCCAAAAUCAAACCUUAAGCGAUGAAGGUCGACAUAGUGGUGGUGUUGCGCAGUGGGUAGCAGUGGAGAUGGGAUCGUACAGAGUGUGGGUGUCGCACGGGGAGGUGACGGUGAAGUUAAAUGGCGUGGUGGUGGAGCGUUGUGGAGGUGGCUUCUGUUGAGCACAGGGAGAACCACAGGGAGAGUGAUUUGAGAACGACAGUGAUGAGAAUAGAAAGAAAAUUUUAUUUUUGUCUCAAAAUAG